Molecule: ribosomal RNA, 1325 nt
Filed under: Candidatus Phytoplasma sacchari
Lineage: Bacteria; Bacillati; Mycoplasmatota; Mollicutes; Acholeplasmatales; Acholeplasmataceae
Description: bacterial SSU rRNA
Rfam family: Bacterial small subunit ribosomal RNA
Source: RNAcentral
ACGGGAUAGGGAAUAAAAAGGCAUCUUUUUAUUUUUAAAAGACCUUUUUCGGAAGGUAUGCUUAAAGAGGGGCUUGCGUCACAUUAGUUAGUUGGCAGGGUAAAGGCCUACCAAGACUAUGAUGUGUAGCUGGACUGAGAGGUUGAACAGCCACAUUGGGACUGAGACACGGCCCAAACUCCUACGGGAGGCAGCAGUAGGGAAUUUUCGGCAAUGGAGGAAACUCUGACCGAGCAACGCCGCGUGAACGAUGAAGUAUUUCGGUAUGUAAAGUUCUUUUAUUGAAGAAGAAAAAAUAGUGGAAAAACUAUCUUGACGAUAUUCAAUGAAUAAGCCCCGGCAAACUAUGUGCCAGCAGCCGCGGUAAUACAUAGGGGGCGAGCGUUAUCCGGAAUUAUUGGGCGUAAAGGGUGCGUAGGCGGUUUAAUAAGUCUAUAGUUUAAUUUCAGUGCUUAACACUGUCCUGCUAUAGAAACUAUUAGACUAGAGUGAGAUAGAGGCAAGUGGAAUUCCAUGUGUAGCGGUAAAAUGCGUAAAUAUAUGGAGGAACACCAGAGGCGUAGGCGGCUUGCUGGGUCUUUACUGACGCUGAGGCACGAAAGCGUGGGGAGCAAACAGGAUUAGAUACCCUGGUAGUCCACGCCGUAAACGAUGAGUACUAAGUGUCGGGAUUACUCGGUACUGAAGUUAACACAUUAAGUACUCCGCCUGAGUAGUACGUACGCAAGUAUGAAACUUAAAGGAAUUGACGGGACUCCGCACAAGCGGUGGAUCAUGUUGUUUAAUUCGAAGAUACACGAAAAACCUUACCAGGUCUUGACAUACUCUGCAAAGCUAUAGCAAUAUAGUGGAGGUUAUCAGGGAUACAGGUGGUGCAUGGUUGUCGUCAGCUCGUGUCGUGAGAUGUUAGGUUAAGUCCUAAAACGAGCGCAACCCUUGUCAUUAGUUGCCAGCAUGUUAUGAUGGGCACUUUAAUGAGACUGCCAAUGAAAAAUUGGAGGAAGGUGAGGAUCACGUCAAAUCAUCAUGCCCCUUAUGAUCUGGGCUACAAACGUGAUACAAUGGCUGUUACAAAGAGUAGCUGAAACGUAAGUUUAUAGCCAAUCUCAUAAAAGCAGUCUCAGUUCGGAUUGAAGUCUGCAACUCGACUUCAUGAAGUUGGAAUCGCUAGUAAUCGCGAAUCAGCAUGUCGCGGUGAAUACGUUCUCGGGGUUUGUACACACCGCCCGUCAAACCACGAAAGUUGGUAAUACUCAAAAACGGUAGCCUAACUUCUUCGGAAGAGGGAACCGUCUAAGGUAGGAUCGAUGAUUGGGGUUAAGUCU